Molecule: ribosomal RNA, 1378 nt
Filed under: Staphylococcus sp.
Lineage: Bacteria; Bacillati; Bacillota; Bacilli; Caryophanales; Staphylococcaceae
Description: bacterial SSU rRNA
Rfam family: Bacterial small subunit ribosomal RNA
Source: RNAcentral
UGCAAGUCGAGCGAACGGACGAGAAGCUUGCUUCUCUGAUGUUAGCGGCGGACGGGUGAGUAACACGUGGAUAACCUACCUAUAAGACUGGGAUAACUUCGGGAAACCGGAGCUAAUACCGGAUAAUAUUUUGAACCGCAUGGUUCAAAAGUGAAAGACGGUCUUGCUGUCACUUAUAGAUGGAUCCGCGCUGCAUUAGCUAGUUGGUAAGGUAACGGCUUACCAAGGCAACGAUGCAUAGCCGACCUGAGAGGGUGAUCGGCCACACUGGAACUGAGACACGGUCCAGACUCCUACGGGAGGCAGCAGUAGGGAAUCUUCCGCAAUGGGCGAAAGCCUGACGGAGCAACGCCGCGUGAGUGAUGAAGGUCUUCGGAUCGUAAAACUCUGUUAUUAGGGAAGAACAUAUGUGUAAGUAACUGUGCACAUCUUGACGGUACCUAAUCAGAAAGCCACGGCUAACUACGUGCCAGCAGCCGCGGUAAUACGUAGGUGGCAAGCGUUAUCCGGAAUUAUUGGGCGUAAAGCGCGCGUAGGCGGUUUUUUAAGUCUGAUGUGAAAGCCCACGGCUCAACCGUGGAGGGUCAUUGGAAACUGGAAAACUUGAGUGCAGAAGAGGAAAGUGGAAUUCCAUGUGUAGCGGUGAAAUGCGCAGAGAUAUGGAGGAACACCAGUGGCGAAGGCGACUUUCUGGUCUGUAACUGACGCUGAUGUGCGAAAGCGUGGGGAUCAAACAGGAUUAGAUACCCUGGUAGUCCACGCCGUAAACGAUGAGUGCUAAGUGUUAGGGGGUUUCCGCCCCUUAGUGCUGCAGCUAACGCAUUAAGCACUCCGCCUGGGGAGUACGACCGCAAGGUUGAAACUCAAAGGAAUUGACGGGGACCCGCACAAGCGGUGGAGCAUGUGGUUUAAUUCGAAGCAACGCGAAGAACCUUACCAAAUCUUGACAUCCUUUGACAACUCUAGAGAUAGAGCUUUCCCCUUCGGGGGACAAAGUGACAGGUGGUGCAUGGUUGUCGUCAGCUCGUGUCGUGAGAUGUUGGGUUAAGUCCCGCAACGAGCGCAACCCUUAAGCUUAGUUGCCAUCAUUAAGUUGGGCACUCUAAGUUGACUGCCGGUGACAAACCGGAGGAAGGUGGGGAUGACGUCAAAUCAUCAUGCCCCUUAUGAUUUGGGCUACACACGUGCUACAAUGGACAAUACAAAGGGCAGCGAAACCGCGAGGUCAAGCAAAUCCCAUAAAGUUGUUCUCAGUUCGGAUUGUAGUCUGCAACUCGACUACAUGAAGCUGGAAUCGCUAGUAAUCGUAGAUCAGCAUGCUACGGUGAAUACGUUCCCGGGUCUUGUACACACCGCCCGUCACACCACGAGAGUUUGU